ACUACGGGUGGCAGCAGUGGGGGAUAUUGCACAAUGGGGGGAACCCUGAUGCAGCGACGCCGCGUGGGUGAAGAAGCGCCUCGGCGCGUAAAGCCCUGUCAGCAGGGAAGAAAAUGACGGUACCUGAAGAAGAAGCCCCGGCUAACUACGUGCCAGCAGCCGCGGUAAUACGUAGGGGGCAAGCGUUAUCCGGAUUUACUGGGUGUAAAGGGGGCGCAGACGGCGAUGCAAGCCAGGAGUGAAAGCCCGGGGCCCAACCCCGGGACUGCUCUUGGAACUGCGUGGCUGGAGUGCAGGAGGGGCAGGCGGAAUUCCUGGUGUAGCGGUGAAAUGCGUAGAGAUCAGGAGGAACACCGGUGGCGAAGGCGGCCUGCUGGACUGCAACUGACGUUGAGGCCCGAAAGCGUGGGGAGCAAACAGGAUUAGAUACCCGAGUAGUC
This 440-nucleotide ribosomal RNA is filed under the name uncultured bacterium. Its description in RNAcentral is "partial 16S ribosomal RNA". It matches the Rfam family "Bacterial small subunit ribosomal RNA", at positions 338 to 795 of the family's 1533-position model. The record is from RNAcentral.